GCCCUUAGAGUUUGAUCCUGGCUCAGGACGAACGCUGGCGGCGCGCCUAACACAUGCAAGUCGAACGAGCGAGAGAGAGCUUGCUUUCUCGAGCGAGUGGCGAACGGGUGAGUAACGCGUGAGGAACCUGCCUCAAAGAGGGGGACAACAGUUGGAAACGACUGCUAAUACCGCAUAAGCCCACGGGUCGGCAUCGACCAGAGGGAAAAGGAGCAAUCCGCUUUGAGAUGGCCUCGCGUCCGAUUAGCUAGUUGGUGAGGUAACGGCCCACCAAGGCAACGAUCGGUAGCCGGACUGAGAGGUUGAACGGCCACAUUGGGACUGAGACACGGCCCAGACUCCUACGGGAGGCAGCAGUGGGGAAUAUUGCACAAUGGGGGAAACCCUGAUGCAGCGACGCCGCGUGGAGGAAGAAGGUCUUCGGAUUGUAAACUCCUGUUGUGAGGAAGAUAAAGACGGUACUCAACAAGGAAGUGACGGCAACUCU
Molecule: ribosomal RNA, 487 nt
Filed under: uncultured bacterium
Lineage: Bacteria
Description: bacterial SSU rRNA
Rfam family: Bacterial small subunit ribosomal RNA
Source: RNAcentral